This 482-nucleotide ribosomal RNA is filed under the name uncultured bacterium. RNAcentral describes it as "partial 16S ribosomal RNA". It matches the Rfam family "Bacterial small subunit ribosomal RNA", at positions 30 to 507 of the family's 1533-position model. The record is from RNAcentral.
AUUGAACGCUGGCGGCAUGCUUUACACAUGCAAGUCGAACGGUAACAGCACUUCUGUGGCUGACGAGUGGCGAACGGGUGAGUAAUACAUCUGAACGUGCCUAGUAGUGGGGGAUAACUACUCUAAAGAGUAGCUAAUACCGCAUGAGAUCUAAGUAUGAAAGCAUUUGACCUUCUGGCCUUUCUCUACUAUUUCUGCUGAUGGCAGAUUAGUUAGUUGGUGUGAUAAAAGCUUACCAAGCCGACGAUCUGUAUCUGGUCUGAGAGGAAGACCAGCCACAGUGGGACUGAGACACGGACAAGACGCCUACGGGAGGCAGCAGUGGGGAAUGUUGGACAAUGGGCGAAAGCAUGAUACAGAAAUGCCGCGUGCAGGAUGAAGGCAUUCGGGUUGUAAACUGAUGUUGUAAGGAACGAAAAGAACUCUUCGAAAACAGGAGGGUCAUGACGGUAACGUAAGAAGAAGCACCGGCUAACUACGUG